RNAcentral lists this ribosomal RNA (497 nucleotides) under uncultured bacterium. RNAcentral's name for it is "partial 16S ribosomal RNA". It matches the Rfam family "Bacterial small subunit ribosomal RNA", at positions 28 to 507 of the family's 1533-position model. The record is from RNAcentral.
GAUGAACGCUGGCGGCGUGCCUAAUACAUGCAAGUCGAGCGAACGGACGAGAAGCUUGCUUCUCUGAUGUUAGCGGCGGACGGGUGAGUAACACGUGGAUAACCUACCUCUAAGACUGGGAUGACUUCGGGAAACCGGAGCUAAUACCGGCUAAUAUUUUGAACCGCAUGGUUCAAAAGUGAAAGACGGUCUUGCUGUCACUUAUAGAUGGAUCCGCGCUGCAUUAGCUAGUUGGUAAGGUAACGGCUUACCAAGGCAACGAUGCAUAGCCGACCUGAGAGGGUGAUCAGCCACACUGGAACUGAGACACGGUCCAGACUCCUACGGGAGGCAGCAGUAGGGAAUCUUCCGCAAUGGGCGAAAGCCUGACGGAGCCAUGCCGCGUGAGUGAUGAAGGUCUUCGGAUCGUAAAACUCUGUUAUUAGGGAAGAACAGAUGUGUAAGUAACUGUGCUCGUCUUGACGGUACCUAAUCAGAAAGCCACGGCUAACUACGUG